RNAcentral lists this ribosomal RNA (445 nucleotides) under uncultured bacterium. RNAcentral's name for it is "bacterial SSU rRNA". It matches the Rfam family "Bacterial small subunit ribosomal RNA", at positions 331 to 793 of the family's 1533-position model. The record is from RNAcentral.
CCAGACUCCUACGGGAGGCAGCAGUGGGGAAUAUUGCACAAUGGGGGAAACCCUGAUGCAGCGACGCCGCGUGAGUGAAGAAGUAUUUCGGUAUGUAAAGCUCUAUCAGCAGGGAAGAAAAUGACGGUACCUGAUUAAGAAGCCCCGGCUAACUACGUGCCAGCAGCCGCGGUAAUACGCAGGGGGCAAGCGUUAUCCGGAUUUACUGGGUGUAAAGGGAGCGUAGACGGCAAGACAAGCCUGGAGUGAAAGGCGGGGGCCCAACCCCCGGACUGCUCUGGGAACUGUCUGGCUGGAGUGCAGGAGGGGUAAGUGGAAUUCCUAGUGUAGCGGUGAAAUGCGUAGAUAUUAGGAGGAACACCAGUGGCGAAGGCGGCUUACUGGACUGUAACUGACGUUGAGGCUCGAAAGCGUGGGGAGCAAACAGGAUUAGAUACCCCCGUAA